This 216-nucleotide unclassified non-coding RNA is filed under the name Melitaea cinxia (Glanville fritillary). Its description in RNAcentral is "misc RNA ENSMCXG00005020618.1". Lineage: Eukaryota; Metazoa; Arthropoda; Insecta; Lepidoptera; Nymphalidae. The record is from RNAcentral.
CUGGAGUAGUACCUCGACCUUACAGAAGACCACAGCUAAAUAAUACUGUUUUUAAGCAGUAUUGUGUUCCUGUUGGUGAGUAAGGUGACCAGAGCUCCUGGGGGGGAUUGGGUCGGCAACGCGCUUUCGAUGCUUCUGGUGUUGCAGGCGUCUAUAAGCUACGGUAAUCGCUUACCAUCAGGUGAGCCGUACGCUUGUUUGUCGACCUAGUUGUAU